AUGGAACUCGCCCAAAGACUCCAGUUACCUCAUGUUUUCACGACAAUCUACAUGCUGCAUUUGGGUAAAGCUACUACUGUCCAGCCCAUCAGUAGUAGCACCGACCUCUAUGCACUUCUAUCCUUCAAAUCUCUUGCCACUGAGGACCCAUCGGGAGCCAUGUCUUCUUGGAGCUCCAAUGAGACCAUGUUUGGUUUCUGCCAUUGGAAGGGUGUAACAUGCAGCAGCCAUGCCCACCCUGGCCGCGUCACUGCCUUGCGCAUGCAAGAUCUUGGCCUUGUCGGUGCCAUCUCUCCGCAGCUCAGCAACCUCACCUAUCUCCAAGCCCUUGAUCUGUCAAACAACAGGUUACAAGGUGAGAUCCCCCAUGACCAUGGCAGCUGCGUCGCACUGCGUGCCAUCAACUUGAGUGUCAACUCCCUGUCUGGCCAGAUCCCAUGGUCCAUCGGCAACCUGCCAAAGCUCGCUGUGCUGAACGUCCGUAACAACAAAAUCUCAGGUAAUGUCCCAGCUUCAUUGGGCAACUUGACAGCACUGACUAUGCUUAGCAUCGCUGAUAACUAUGUCAAUGGGCGAAUUCCUCCUUGGAUUGGCAAUAUGACUAAUUUGACAGAUUUAAACGUUGCUGGUAAUGUCUUCCAUGGAUAUGUCCCAUCAAAUAUAGCUGGGCUAAUAAACCUUUUAGCUUUGAGCUUGUUAGGAAAUAAGCUACAAGGUGUGUUUCCCCCAGAGCUGUUUAAUAUUACAUCCCUUGAAAUUAUGUACAUCGGCCUAAACAUGCUAUCAGGCUUUUUGCCGAUGGAUAUUGGCUCCAAGUUGACUAACUUAGUUUUCUUGAGCACAAUCUAUAACCAAUUUGAAGGCCCGAUACCAGACUCUUUGUCAAAUAUUUCCAAACUAGAAUAUCUUCAACUCCAUGGAAAUAAAUUUCAAGGACGAAUACCACCGAACAUCUGGAGCUCCGGCACAAUCACAAGAUUAAACCUAGGUAACAAUAUUCUUGAAGCUAAGACACCAAAUGACAGGGAUUUCCUCACAUCCUUGACCAACUGUAGUGAACUAGUGACACUAGAUCUUCAAUUGAAUAGGCUUUCUGGAUUUAUCCCGAAUACACUUGUCAACCUCUCGCAAGAGCUCAUAUGGAUUGGACUUGGAGGAAACCAAAUAUUUGGGACCAUACCUGCAGGGAUAGGGAGGUUUCGCAAAUUAACUGUACUAGAGUUGGCAUGUAACAUUUUCACAUGCAACAUACCUUUAGAUAUUGGUCAGCUAUCUAGUCUCCACCGGCUGUUGUUGUAUGGAAACAAUUUGAGUGGGGAGAUUCCACCAUCGAUUCAGGAGUUGGUCAAUCUUGGUGCAAUUGAUCUCUCAGGCAAUAAGCUAUCCGGUCAAAUUCCAUACACCCUAGGUAGUUGUGUUGAGUUGGAAUUCUUAUUCUUGCAAGCGAAUCUAUUGCAAGGGAAAAUUCCUUCUGAACUCAGUACACUUAGAGGACUAGAAGACUUGGAUCUAUCAAACAACAACUUAUCAGGACCCAUCCCUGAUUUUCUUGGGAAUUUCCAAGGUCUCAAGCAUUUAAACCUUUCCUUGAACAACCUCUCUGGUCUUGUGCCAAAUAAAGGAAUUUUCUGUAAUCCCACUGCUGUAUCACUCUCGAAAUGCCCAUCAUCUCUUGCUCAUAAUAGUCAUUCAAAGCACCAAGUGCAGCUUAUAUUGAUCAUUUGUGUUGUUGGAGGAUUUACCAUAUUUGCAUGUCUAGUGACUUUCUAUUUCAUUAAGGACCAACGAACAAUCCCAAAAGAUAUUGAUCAUGAAGAGCAUAUCACAUCGCUUCUCAUAAAGAAAUAUCCUAGGAUAUCAUAUGUUGAGUUAUACGCUGCAACAGAUUCCUUGUCCUCGGAAAACUUAAUCGGCCGUGGAAGUUUCGGAUAUGUAUAUAAAGGGAAUUUAACUUCUGGUGUGAAUUCAGCUACGGUGGCCAUGAAAGUACUUGAUCUUCGCCAAAAGGGACAAACACAGGGCUUUUUUGCUGAGUGCGAUGCCUUGAGGAGGAUACAACAUCGGAAACUUGUUAAGGUUGUCACGAUAAUGAGUGUUGAUGCAUCAAGGCAAAGUUUGGGCGAAAGCAUUUCGAAUGGAGUUAGAGGCUCAAUUGGGUACCUUGCACCAGAGUAUGGGAUGGGAGCCGAGAUAUCAGCUAGUGGUGUAUACAGCUACGGAGUGUUGGUUCUCCAAAUGCUGACCGGGAAAGAACCAACCGACGCAAUAUUCGAUGGGACUACAAGUCUUCCAAAAUACGUCGAGAUGACCUAUCCGGACAAGCUAUCUCCAAUAGUCGACGCAGCUAUUAUUGCUAACAGUGGCGGCGGCCAAGAGACGAUAAAUAUGUUCAUUGUGCCAGUUGCAAAAAUUGGUCUAGCAUGCUGCAGAGAUAACGCUAGCCAGCGAAUGAACUUCGGUGAGAUAGUGAAAGAACUGGUCCCGUUGAACAAGUUGUGUCAAGAUUAUUUCCUCACUCAGGGGGCAAGUAGUGGCAACACUAGUGACAUCGGUAUCACGCUGUAACCAUACUAGA
Molecule: long non-coding RNA, 2575 nt
Filed under: Oryza sativa Indica Group (long-grained rice)
Lineage: Eukaryota; Viridiplantae; Streptophyta; Magnoliopsida; Poales; Poaceae
Description: lncRNA OsMH63_10G006880
Source: RNAcentral